UUGUAGCCCAGAUGGAAACGGCAUCCUUUUUAUGAUUGCUGCGAGGAACAAGCAGGAAUUAUAAAAAGAUAUAGUGUACAGCUGGAAAUAGC
This 92-nucleotide small RNA is filed under the name Flavobacterium crassostreae. Its description in RNAcentral is "Flavo-1 RNA". It matches the Rfam family "Flavo-1 RNA". Lineage: Bacteria; Pseudomonadati; Bacteroidota; Flavobacteriia; Flavobacteriales; Flavobacteriaceae. The record is from Rfam by way of RNAcentral.